UACGUAGGGGGCUAGCGUUGUCCGGAAUCAUUGGGCGUAAAGAGCGUGUAGGCGGCCCGGUAAGUCCGCUGUAAAAGUCAAAGGCUCAACGUUUGAAUGUCAGUGGAUACUGUCGGGCUAGAGUCCGGAAGAGGCGAGUGGAACUCCUGGUGUAGCGGUGGAAUGCGCAGAUAUCAGGAAGAACACCAACGGCGAAGGCAGCUCGCUAGGACGGUACUGACGCUGAGACGCGAAAGCGUGGGGAGCGAACAGG
Molecule: ribosomal RNA, 253 nt
Filed under: uncultured bacterium
Lineage: Bacteria
Description: partial 16S ribosomal RNA
Rfam family: Bacterial small subunit ribosomal RNA
Source: RNAcentral